Gossypium raimondii (Peruvian cotton) is the source of this 119-nucleotide non-coding RNA. The record is from Rfam. Lineage: Eukaryota; Viridiplantae; Streptophyta; Magnoliopsida; Malvales; Malvaceae.
GGGUGCGAUCAUACCAGCACUAAUGCACCGGAUCCCAUCAGAAUUCCGCAGUUCAGCUUGCUUGGGCGAGAGUAGUACUAGGAUGGGUGACCUCCUGGGAAGUCCUCGUGUUGCACCCC